This is a long non-coding RNA of Mustela erminea (ermine), 3982 nucleotides long. RefSeq lists it as uncharacterized. The record is from RefSeq and is a predicted model, not a curated record. The transcript is spliced from 5 exons. Lineage: Eukaryota; Metazoa; Chordata; Mammalia; Carnivora; Mustelidae.
CAUUUAUUGAAAAGACUAUCCUUUCCCCAUUGUGUAUUUCUGGUGCCUUCCUUGAAAAUUAGUUGACCAUAUGUGUGUGGAUUUAAAGUUUUGUCAAUUCUUUUCCUGUUAAAGAAAGAAGAAAAUGUUGGUUAAGUUUAAAGCUUAUUUAAUAGUAAAAUGGAGCCCGUAGACUUUCUCCUGCUCUGCAGGUACUGAGUUAGGUCCCUUGGUUUCUCCUGCCUCUAACAUAAGUAGUAGAGAUGGAGAGGAUUUCCACUUGAAGUUUUGAGCUAUCAAAGAGAGCACUGCUCUGGGCAACCAUGCUGUCCUGGGCCACUUCUUGGCACCUUUCCUACUGUGUACCUAAGCUGACUCAAAACACCCCUAUGCUCUCCUCCAGGUGCAGGUACCAGACCUUGAAGCCAUUACCAAAACUUGUGGAUUAAUUGGUAAGGAGCUUGUGAUUCUCUUCGUCUCCCUCAAGACUCAUUCACCUGAGUAGGGCUGUAGAGUGAAACCCCUUUGCUACUCCAGCAUUGCCAAUACCCCGUUUUGUCUAGAAUGCACCCCUCCUGUCUAACCUUGAUGGAUUCUUUAGGAAGUAUUAUAAGAUAAAACUCUGGUGUUUUCAGGUUGUGUCCUUGGAUUCCUUCUGAGUGUCCCCUCUCAUGGGUUGAGUCUCCUACUGGGCCACUCUACCACCAGCAUACACCAUUUAACCGAGCAGAGCAGAUUUCUGUCCAGGACCGAGUCUAGGACAGUGGGAGGUUAGAAUGAGAGAACACCAUUUAUUUCAUCUUUCACUCACUUACACGUUCCUUAAUCAUAUAGUCACUCAUUCAAGAAGCAUUAAUUGAAUAUUUACUAUGCACUAGUUAUUUUGCUGCCAUGACCAGUGAGGUACAGUGAUGAACACGACAGCAGAGUCUCUGACCUGAGUGAAAAAGCUGGAGAGACACAUUACAUAAGUGAUGAACAAAUUAAGAAGGUCACAAGUUGUGGGGACACGCUGAAGAAAUCAGCAAGAUCUUGAAGAAAAGCAACCUGGAAGAGGACACUUCAGGCAAGGUGGUCCAGGAAUGCUCUGAAUGAAUUAGUAACGUCUGAGCUGAGACAUAAAGAUGAAGAGGGGGGAGCCGUAUGAAGACCUGAGGAAGAGCAUCUCCUAGAGAGGAAGCUGACGGAAAUGCUGACAGAUGGCAAAGAACCUGGAACACUUUGUUGGACUGGGCAGGCCAGACCAUCCUCAGCUUUGUGGCAUGUGUAAGUGAAAUUUUAUCCCAAGAACAGUGGGAAGACAUCGAAUGGUUUGGAGCUGCAGGAGAGACAUGAUCAGAUUUAUGUACUAAAAAGAGAGCUCUGGCUGCUGUAUAGAGAACAGAUUCUAGGUACACCUGGGGAUUCCAGUUUAAAGCUAGAGUCAUCUGGACAGGAGAUAAUGGUGAAGACAAUGACAGUGGAGAGCUGGGGGCAUGCCCAAGGACGUUUUUGGACCUAGAACGGACCUUGCUGAAGGACUGGCUAUUGAAGAGUGAGAAAGGAAGGAUGCCAGAUUGACUCCUGCGACCUGUUCUUGAAAGGCUGGGCAGGCAGCAAGGCCAGUUUCUGGACGGAGCGAACUGAAGGAGGCUGUCCCCGGGGUCUCUCCCUGGCGCCCUGUGGGCUGAUGGAGUGCAGAUGGGAAUGUGGGUCUGCAAGUGUGCUCCCGUCACUUUGGUGAUAGGAAACACCAGUGGCCAACUUGGCCUCGUCCUCUCCUGCAACUCUCCUAAUGACUCCAUGAGGGGGUCCUAUCAUACCCUGAGACAGAAAACAGAUCUGCCCUGGCUUCCACGGCGACGCCGCACGCACCUGCCCUCAGGAUGCGGUGCACCCGAGGACUGCUUCACCCGGGCUCGUGGGUCUAGUGUCACCCUGCACCGGUUAGUGUCUCUCUGGGACGCAGCUUUGUUGCAGAGCAGGCGGAAGCCAGGACUCACAGGUCUGUCGUGCAGGUGAUGUGAAAUUUAGAUUAAUGAGUCCAGUGACAGGAGAGUCUUUUGGAAACUCCCAGGAGGUCCAAAGUGAGACACAAGCAUCAGAAAGUUCCCCCUUGCUGGAGAUGCACCUGCUGCAUAUUUUUUAGCUCUGUUCCGCCAAAAAGAGACUUAACCCAGAAAAGCUGAGUACUGCUGAGGUUGAAUGAUGAACGGUGUAGUGACUAAGACUGGAGGCUAGAACACAGGCCUGCGGCAAGAUUCUUGCUCUGAAAGUCCAUGGAAACAGCUUAAUGAGUUCUGUGUGUUUUUGCAUGGGAAGCAGGUGUCUCAGCUCCAAGAUCUCUCAAGCCAUGGAGGCAAGCCCUCGUGUUUACAGGCAGCCCAACACCGUUCAGAACCUCCUUCCUACGUGAAAGCUGCUGGUGGGUAAAGCACUGAAUGCCGCCUCUCACAAGAGAGGAGAGUGAAUGGAUCCUUGGUUUGGCAUCUCAUCAAGAAGUGGUGCUAACAGACUCAUCUCCAGUUGGGGGCUCUUGACUAAAAUUCAUAUGGAAGUAAAUAAUUCUGGCCACUUCAGGAGAGGCGGUUGCCCACCCUCUCCUUUCCUCUGCAGUUAAGUUCCCUGACCUACCUCUCCUUUACUAAGCAAUCAUCCUCUUCUGUGUUGGAACUCAGGGGUCAUCUACAAGCUUCUUUAUUAUUGUCGUUGUUGUUUGUUUGAGGUCAUGACCAGAGCCCAAGUCAGAGGCUUAACGCCUGAGACACACAAGCACCCCAAAACUAGCAAACAGUAUUGAGUAGACCUAACAGUGGAGGGGAUGGUGAUGAAUUGAAAGAGGGCCCCACCAGAAGACGACCUUCAGACAAAUCCCCAGCCAUUCCAUCAUCAGAGGGAAGGGCAUUUCAGACAAAGGGAAUGGCGAGUACAAAGAUAAAAGUGUGACAAAAGGCUUGGCCUAUUUUCCAUCUCAGGCUGAGUUUUAGGAUCCAGAUCAUGCAUAGUCUGGUGGGCCAGGAGCUUACUCUUUUAACAAUGGGUAAGCAGGAACUAUUUCAGUAGGGAGAGAUAGGAUCGAAAUGUUUUAAAAAAUUCUCAUCCUAGUUGGUAUGUAGAGGGGAAAAAAAAAAAAAGAAGGUAAGAGUCUUAAAGAAGAAACCAGUGAGAAGGCAGCUGUAGUAAACUAUGUCCCAGAAGGUGGCUAGGGAGAUCAAAAGAGGUAGACUAAUUUGGUAUAUACUUUGGAUUGUAAAAGUAUAUGGAGCAUAUAGAGUAUGUAAACACCUGACAGUUAAUCAUCAAAUACCUACAGGAAGUUGAGGAAAAGGUGGGAGGCGGGAGGUGAUUAGAGAUAGUUUCCAAACUGUGUGCUUGAGUAAAUAAGUGGAUGCUGCAUAACAUGGUACUAUUAUAUACAUGGGAUCAGUGGUGGAAAGAAAUCUUUUACAAUUAUUAAAUAUGAGUCACCUAUCAGACACCAAGUUGAGAUAUUAAAGACACAAAUGGUAUUGGAGUUGGGAGUGGGAGAUAUGGAAUAGUGGGAAAUACGAACUUGAAAAUAUCAGUAGAAGUAAAGAAUCCAGAGAGGUUAUUAAAGAUGGAAAGUGGCAGUGUGUUUCUAUACUGAUGGAAAUAAUCCGGGAAAAAGAGAAAAGAGAAAUUGAACGUGCCUGCCAUAGACAGGCAUGUCUAUUUCUAUUUCAGUUUUUACUGAAAAACUGCAGUCCUAAGAAAACACUGGGAGACAGUAUAGAACAUACCUUAGAAGUAUUCCAACUAAGGUGUGCGUAAGCUGGAAAAUUUAUUCACCAACUUCCAUCAGUUGCUGGUUGAGGAGUGCUCUCAAGAGGUGGGGGAUGGGUGGGCAGUAAUUCCACAGCAUUUCUGGCCUUCCCUGCAUGUAUGCUAAGCCAAUUCUGGUGAGCAGAGAAAGCCAUCAGGCAGACUCCUAAGUGCUUUCAGUUAGAAGCCAUUGGAUUGGCAUAUACAGGAAUGGUGAGUCUCAAAACUAUAUGGGAGGGCG